Molecule: transfer RNA, 49 nt
Filed under: Bavayia robusta
Lineage: Eukaryota; Metazoa; Chordata; Lepidosauria; Squamata; Diplodactylidae
Description: partial tRNA-Tyr
Source: RNAcentral
GUGGCAGGCUGUAGUCCUGCAUACAUGGGUUUAAGUCCUGUUUCUAUCA